GUUAAGCUGAAUGUUAAUAUCAGUCAUUUCUAUGCAUUGUAAAAUUUUCGAAAUUUCACAUCAAACGCUAUUUGCAUAUGUAUUUGUUUAGUCCGUCAGUCAUUUUCAAAAAAUGAACCUGUUUUUAGUCAUACCACUUCAUUAGGCCAUUUAAAAGCAGAAGCAACUACUGAAACGGUUUCUGAGCCGGGGUGGCGCAAGUGUGCAUACAAAGAUAAGUAUCUGAUGUAAUUGAGAGUAUACACUUCACAUCAAUGAAAAAAAGAAAAUAAGAUUUUUUUUACGUUAUUAAAUAAUUUUUAUAUCAGACAGUUACUUAUUAAUUUUUGUGUAUUUUGUUUAAAUUAUUUUUAGUAAAAAAGAUGAGCAUAGAUCGAGUGAAAAAUUUAAAAUUACCCAAUUUAUUAAGAUUUGAAAGCUAUAAUUUUUACGUGUUGAGAAUGAAAACUAUGGGCGUAAUACCAUUUCAUUUAGAUUUUUUCAAAAAGAAAUUUGGAGUAUUUUUGGACUGGAUACAAGUAACAAUUUUUGAAGAAUUGGGAGGAGAUUUAAAAAUAGAUUGAACUCGAGAACUCACCAAUGAUGUACCUUUCAAUAAUGCACAACCAGUGGGCAGUGAUAUACCUACCAUAAAUGAAUGAGAUUAAUGAUAUAGGCUCAGACAUACUACGUUUAAUUUACCCUGCAAUUUUGCUUUAUAAAAAUAUUACUAUUCAUAUUUUGUUUUAAUUAUACUAACAGGGUCAUAUAGUUAAUUUUAGUUUGUUUUGAUGUACCGAUAGGACCGUCCUAUAUAAUAUUAAAAUUAAUAUUUAACUAAGUAAAAUUAUUAUUCUUUGACCGCUGAAAAUAUGUUAACAUUGUAUUAGUUUUAACUAUUGAACUGCUGAAUUUUUUUUUAUAUAUAUCUUUUAACCUAAAAUGUUUAGAAUAUAACAGUUUUAUCGUCAUAAAAAUG
Long non-coding RNA from Metopolophium dirhodum (rose-grain aphid), 958 nucleotides. RefSeq lists it as uncharacterized. The transcript has 4 exons. NCBI's taxonomy places the organism in Eukaryota, Metazoa, Arthropoda, Insecta, Hemiptera, Aphididae. The record is from RefSeq and is a predicted model, not a curated record.